RNAcentral lists this long non-coding RNA (1313 nucleotides) under Strigops habroptila (Kakapo). RNAcentral describes it as "lncRNA (ENSSHBG00005004682.1)". The record is from RNAcentral. Lineage: Eukaryota; Metazoa; Chordata; Aves; Psittaciformes; Psittacidae.
GCUUGGUCUUCACCACUUGCCAUUUUUUACAACUACAAAUAUCCAUCAAUUUUCAUUGCAUUAUCCCCUAUUAUCUACAUUAAUGCACAAAGGAGGGUAAGCAGUUUCAGUGAGAUAAUGAGGAGUGACUUGUAUCCAGCAGAGAAAGAGCUGGAGCUAAUAAGCCUUCAACUGAAGUCUCUAACUUGAUAAUAUUGCAACACGCAGGAGCUUCCUUAUGUCAGUGGGAGGGAAGGGCCACGAUGUCAGCAGGAUCAGACCUAGCACACUGCAUCUCUGUAAGCGGAAUGCUCACAUGGCAGAUAGCUGGCAGAAUUGCUUGCUGCUUUUCCCCCGGAGCUCCUGGCAUGGGCAUGUAUUAGAGAUGUAGUCAGUGUCGUCAUGCUCUGGUUAUUAUCAGGAACAGCUCCUCUGGCUGCUGUAAUUUGCACGGAGGACUGCAGAUGCCAUCAACAGAUCAGAGGGAGAGGGAUUGUGAAGGUAAUCGACAGCCUUUUUCCCUGUGUGAGUUGAGACCAGAAUCAAGGCUUUUGCUUCAGAAACCAGAAACUCCACAAAACUAAUUUGUGGAGCUGCUAUUAAUAGAACACAGGAAAUUAACUUCUAGCUUUCAUUACUUUAACUUACAGAAGUGACUGACCUGGUUGUAAUACAGGUUAACUUUGCCUGUCUUCCCAAAGCUGCUGAAGACGCAGCAGUUCUGUUUGCUCUAGACACUGGUAAGUAGUUCUCACAUAAAUCUGUAAGGAGCACAGCUUUGACAAUUAAAGAUUAUUACAGCCAUAGGUUUCGGACAGAGUGGCUUUUUAUACAAUCUUUACUCGCUUCCUAUGGCCACAGUGGUUUCAUCUGAACCUCUGAGACUGUAGAUGAAACUCCAAAAUAAACACCUUCUGCUCCUGUAAAUCUUUGAAAAUGCAUGCCUGAAUACUGCAAUAGGCUUAGUAAAACCAAUGUCCUCACUACUCUGCCUCCAGAAGUUAUUACUUUAAACUCGCAACCCUUACUCUGGCUUGUCCCAUUUUAUAUAGCCAUCAGACCAUGAUUUCUGGCCUGAAGGAUAGUGUUAAGCACUUUUAUAUAGUUUAUGACUAAGAGUAGGCACAGUAGAGAAGAAUAACCUUUAAAUACAUGUAUUCACAAUGAAAGAUGCAUUGAUGAAUGGUUAAGAUUGGGCACACAGUUAAUGACAAAUGUCAGAAUGUUUCAAAGGUUUGCUUGAUUAUUAAUCAGGAAAUAACGCAAAGCAGAUGAAAUCACAGACCAGAGGUUUGCUUCACUGUUAAAAACAAAACCAAAAACAAAACCAAAAA